This 304-nucleotide small nuclear RNA is filed under the name Meriones unguiculatus (Mongolian gerbil). RNAcentral's name for it is "7SK RNA (ENSMUGG00000008423.1)". The stretch from base 1 to 267 matches the Rfam family "7SK RNA". From Rfam's summary of the family: 7SK was discovered as an abundant small nuclear RNA in the mid-70s but a possible function has only recently been suggested. Two independent studies have found that 7SK RNA binds the CDK9/cyclin T complex (known as elongation factor P-TEFb). Lineage: Eukaryota; Metazoa; Chordata; Mammalia; Rodentia; Muridae. The record is from RNAcentral.
AGAUAUGAGUGUGACCUGUUUGCAAAAUCUGCAACCCCACUGAUUGCCAGUUUGAUUUGGCUUAUUCAGCUACCUAAGUUGGUGUCCUUUCCCUCCCUCACUGUUCCAUGUAUGUCUCUUCCAAAGAUGCAUGCUUGGUAGGUUAAAGAGGAUGGUCAUUUGCCAGCCAAGGGUACUAGAGUUGCUGUACUCCACUGCUGGAACUACCAAACAAGUUCUCCAAAAGUAAGAGCCUGGCCUGGUGUCAUCUCAGAACUUGGGACACUGAGGAAGAAACUGCCACAAGUGUGAGGGCAACUUGUUC